CAGCGAGGCUAGGGGUGCCCUUCGGGGCUGAGAGAUUACCCUUGGAACCUGAACCGGAUCAUACCGGCGGAGGGAAGCUUCGGAGCCACGCC
This 92-nucleotide non-coding RNA is filed under the name Thioalkalivibrio denitrificans. RNAcentral's name for it is "TPP sequence". It matches the Rfam family "TPP riboswitch aptamer (THI element)". From Rfam's summary of the family: Vitamin B(1) in its active form thiamin pyrophosphate (TPP) is an essential coenzyme that is synthesised by coupling of pyrimidine and thiazole moieties in bacteria. The previously detected thiamin-regulatory element, thi box was extended, resulting in a new, highly conserved RNA secondary structure, the THI element, which is widely distributed in eubacteria and also occurs in some archaea. Lineage: Bacteria; Pseudomonadati; Pseudomonadota; Gammaproteobacteria; Chromatiales; Ectothiorhodospiraceae. The record is from Rfam by way of RNAcentral.